Aedes albopictus (Asian tiger mosquito) is the source of this 2196-nucleotide long non-coding RNA. RefSeq lists it as uncharacterized. NCBI's taxonomy places the organism in Eukaryota, Metazoa, Arthropoda, Insecta, Diptera, Culicidae. The transcript has 3 exons. The record is from RefSeq and is a predicted model, not a curated record.
GUACAUCGAGUUCUGCGUGUACAUUGGCGACGAGGAUUAUCUGAAUAAGCUAUUUUACGAGACGUUCUACCGGUGGGCCGGUCAUUGUUAUUGUUUACAUUUGAUGUUUUUGUUUUCGCGAAAAGAAGCAUAACAUGUGGUGAGCGCCAAUCAGAUUUUUGCUGGCAGAAAUGUUUUGGUUUCUAAUGAGGCAUGUAUCAAUUCCCCGAGCUGCAUGAUGUCACUAGCAGAUGAAAAAAACAUCCCCACGGUCUAAGGAUAUUAAUUAUAGUGGGCGGAUUGACGCAUUUCUGCAGAUAAAUGAACCUGGUUUAUUGGAUGGGCCUAUAUCACAUGUUAUGCUAGCGAAAAUGUAAAUAAAUGGGCCCACCGGUUGGACUUCAAAACCGGUAAACAUUCAAAAAACAGCUGAUUUGAAACGUCUCAUAAAAUGCCUUAUUGCAUGCAGAGAUUCGAGGAGAAGAAGAAAUUGGUCAGUAAUGAACGAGCACCGUUAACCGGACACCACUCCCAGAAGCCCAGACGAGGAAAGGUCGUUAAAUCAUUGACAAGAGAGGAGUCAUUGUGAAGUUGAGGAGAAGCAGAUAUUAAACUGGCGUGUGGAUAAGUCGAUCGUUUCCGGAGGUUUUAAUUGGAUUGAAUAUUAAGAGGUAUAUGAUGCACAACUUCGCUGUUUCCAGGUACAAUAAUCAUCCUUACAACUUUUGGUCGCAGCAGCCAAUAAAAAAUACAUUUGUGAAAUAACGGACUAUGAAGUGGUCAUUCAAUGAACAAAGAUAAACAAGGAGACUAUUGGAGAAUAUUGGAUGACGUUACUCGAGGACGGUAUGUUGGAUUACACAACUUAUGGACGGCCAAUUGGAUCAAACAAUUUCCAUUGAAGAUGUGAACAUCAGACCAUUCAAAGUUUAUGUUUUAUAUAUAAAGAAGAAGAAAUCUCAAGUCACUAUGAGUAGAUUUUCAGAAUUAUAAACAGUUAAAUAUUUGCUUAAAUAUUGGAAAAAAAGGAGAGAUGUAGUAUAGUGUACCAAUUGAAAUUAGAGUAGGCUGUGCCUGAGAUUGACAGGCCUGAUGAUGAGAAUAAAGAUUAUUGUUGUUUGGCACUCCAAAGAGUAUAGUUGCAUUACUACACAUACGACGAGCGAGGUUUUUUAGUAGUGUUGUAUUUUUUACAACAGCGCGCGCGCUGAAGGGUUAAAUUAAGAAAAAUGUAUCGAUUUUUUGAUUUUAUACGAAAGAGCACCUUUUCCAAUAGAGUUAAUAAACUAUAGAGGAAGAAUGUCGCUGGCGUCGCCGCCGCAACAUCUCUUGCUGGCGGAGAUAGGGAGGGAUAUAAGUGUCAAAGCGAAAAAUUAUGCAGUUUGACAGAUAGAUACCCGGCAUGUUUGCGAACGAGAACAAAGGGAACAGCAGCGACAUUCGUCCUCUAUAGUUUAUUAACUCUAUUCCUUUUGCUGAGCCACUAUGAUUUUUUGCUGAUUUCGGCACCAAUAUUUCAAAAGGGCGUAACUGCUUUUGCAACCAAUGCCUUCUCACAGAGCUGUGGGUUGUAUUUCAUUCAUCUCAUGCAAUUCACAUCCAUUAAUCAAAAGAGGAGGAUUUUAUCUUUCUAUUUGUGCUAGUGGAUUGCUCGAGAGGGAUGGGAUACGCUCCACAGCUUUGUGAGAAGGCAUUGGUUGUAAAUGCAGUUACGCCCUUUUGAAAUGUUGGUGCCGAUUUUUAGAACGUUAUUUUGGUACCUAAAAUCAAUUUCAAAGUGAUUUUUCAAAAUCACCUUUUGACAGCUGGGUAACUAUUUGACAGCUCCACCCAGUACAAAAUGCGACGAGGGGUGAUUCGACAAACCGCUCCCAUACAAACUUCAAAUCAAUUUUUAAACAGGUUCCCGGGCACCAAAAUUCAUGAAAAUUUGGAUUUCGGCUCAGUUUGGCAUGCAGAUUCAGAAUAUGGAAUUAUCUCAACAACGCUAAGGAAGCCAAUUGAAAAAAAAUGACCGAAAAUGGACAGCAUUAUGGAUACCACGAUGGCGCACGAAACCAUACAGCUCGCCGGUGUCGUAUACGGGCCUAUAGGUGGCAGGGCAAACCGUCCCACGACUCCCGUAGCGAUGUUCAUUGCACGGACUAUAUAAUGCAAAGCACAUUGUCAAGUCACUCAUAGGGCUUAUUUUGAUUUUGCAAAGAAUUUUGACAUUUC